Zingiber officinale is the source of this 958-nucleotide long non-coding RNA. RefSeq lists it as uncharacterized. Lineage: Eukaryota; Viridiplantae; Streptophyta; Magnoliopsida; Zingiberales; Zingiberaceae. The record is from RefSeq and is a predicted model, not a curated record. The transcript has 4 exons.
CCGCACCUCGCCUCCUCAGCCUCUCCUCAAAAAGGAGCUCGAACGUUGUCCAGGAGAGUGACUCAAGCACAACUUCAAGGAAUUCAUAUCCAUUUGGAGCGAUUGCGAAGAGGAGGGUGGGAAUGGGAUGAAGCUUGAAGCAUAUUAAUUGCAAGGAUAAAACACACUGGAUGAGUUCCGCCCAGCUCUAGAGCCCUAAUUAUACCCCCGAUGACUAGGUCGAUGAUGAUGGCAAAAGCAUCGCGGAUGAGAAAUGGAAAGUCGGGUCUCAUAGAGGAGAAGGAGAUUGAUUGCUCAUAGUCGAAAGCUACCAUUUUACAGAUGGAUUCUUUCCGUUUAAGAGCUCAAAGGAGGCGUCGAAGCCCUCAACGACACUGUUAUCUCUCUCUCUUCUAUCGCUCCUCGCCGUCAAGGGUGUUGCCUUCCCCAUCUCUUCGACGGCCGACAAACACUCCGACAAUGGCUCCGGCGCUAGCACUCCGAAAGAGGCCCACCGGCAUCCGGCGACGCACACCUUAGCUUGCAGUUGCAGCAUCCUUCGAGGAAGACGAGGCGGUGCUGGUCGUCAGAGUUGCAUCGUCGCUUCGUCCUCGCUCUCCAGCAACUCAAUUGUCCUCAAGGAGACUUUGCACAUACAUCAUGAAAAAAUUGAUGAUCUAGAGGGUUGGGUACGAGACUAGUGACUAGUGGUGAAACUGAAGAAACUAUGGUGAAAUCGAAGCAAAGCUUGAUUAGGAAUUGGCACUUGAUUUCUGCCAUCACUGUUUAUUGUGUCUUUUCUCUUCAAGACAUUGCAUAUUCUGAGAUUAAUAUGAAAAGAAACUAAAAGUGGGGGUUUUUUUUUUACAAGAAGGGUACUCAUAUAUUCCGAGAAAUUGCAAUAUUACCAGAAAGAUUCAAUCCAAAAAGAAUGUUUACUUUUAUAUAGACUUAAACAUAGAUCCAAAGUUUAUGGAUU